UACGAGGGUGCAAGCGUUGUUCGGAAUUAUUGGGCGUAAAGCGCGUGUAGGCGGCUUUGCAAGUCGGGUGUGAAAUCCCUCAGCUUAACUGAGGAAGUGCGCCCGAAACUGCCGAGCUUGAGUACCGGAGAGGAGACUGGAAUUUACGGUGUAGCGGUGAAAUGCGUAGAUAUCGUAAGGAAGACCAGUGGCGAAGGCGGGUCUCUGGACAGUUCCUGACGCUGAGGCACGAAGGUCAGGGGAGCAAACGGG
RNAcentral lists this ribosomal RNA (252 nucleotides) under uncultured bacterium. RNAcentral describes it as "partial 16S ribosomal RNA". It matches the Rfam family "Bacterial small subunit ribosomal RNA", at positions 524 to 776 of the family's 1533-position model. The record is from RNAcentral.